This 239-nucleotide ribosomal RNA is filed under the name uncultured Lactobacillus sp. RNAcentral describes it as "partial 16S ribosomal RNA". It matches the Rfam family "Bacterial small subunit ribosomal RNA", at positions 125 to 355 of the family's 1533-position model. The record is from RNAcentral. Lineage: Bacteria; Bacillati; Bacillota; Bacilli; Lactobacillales; Lactobacillaceae.
CCGUAGCCCAAGAGAUCGGGAUAACACCUGGAAACAGAUGCUAAUACCGGAUAACAACAGAUGAUGCCUAUCAACUGUUUAAAAGAUGGUUCUGCUAUCACUCUUGGAUGGACCUGCGGUGCAUUAGCUAGUUGGUAGGGUAACGGCCCACCAAGGCGAUGAUGCAUAGCCGAGUUGAGAGACUGAUCGGCCACAUUGGGACUGAGACACGGCCCAAACUCCUACGGGAGGCAGCAGCC